Molecule: ribosomal RNA, 497 nt
Filed under: uncultured bacterium
Lineage: Bacteria
Description: partial 16S ribosomal RNA
Rfam family: Bacterial small subunit ribosomal RNA
Source: RNAcentral
GAUGAACGCUGGCGGCGUGCCUAACACAUGCAAGUCGAGCGAACAGACGAUGAGCUUGUGCCUCUGACGUUAGCGGCGGACGGGCGAGUAACACGUGGAUAACCUACUUAUAAUACUGGGAUAACUUCGGGAAACCGGAUCUACUACCGCAGAAUAUAUUGAACCGCAUGGUUCAAUAGUGAAUGACGGUUUUGCUGUCACUUAUAGAUGGAUCCGCGCCGCAUUAGCUAGUUGGUAAGGUAACGGCUUACCAAGGCAACGAUGCGUAGCCGACCUGAGAGGAUGAUCGGCCACACUGGAACUGAGACACGGUCCAGACUCCUACGGGAGGCAGCAGUGGGGAAUCUUGGGCAAUGGGCGAAAGCUUGACGGAGCAACGCCGCGUGAGUGAUGAAGGUCUUCGGAUCGUAAAACCCUGUUAUUAGGGAAGAACAACUGUGGAAGAAAACAUGCACGUCUUGACGGUACCUAAUCAAAAAGCACCGGCUAACUACGUG